UACGUAGGGUGCGAGCGUUAAUCGGAAUUACUGGGCGUAAAGCGUGCGCAGGCGGUUUUGUAAGCCAGAUGUGAAAGCCCCGGGCUUAACCUGGGAAUGGCAUUUGGGACUGCAAGGCUUGAGUGCGGCAGAGGAGACUGGAAUUCCUGGUGUAGCAGUGAAAUGCGUAGAUAUCAGGAGGAAUACCGAUGGCGAAGGCAGGUCUCUGGACAGUUCCUGACACUGAGGCACGAAGGCCAGGGGAGCAAACGGG
Molecule: ribosomal RNA, 253 nt
Filed under: uncultured bacterium
Lineage: Bacteria
Description: partial 16S ribosomal RNA
Rfam family: Bacterial small subunit ribosomal RNA
Source: RNAcentral